RNAcentral lists this ribosomal RNA (557 nucleotides) under uncultured bacterium. RNAcentral's name for it is "bacterial SSU rRNA". It matches the Rfam family "Bacterial small subunit ribosomal RNA", at positions 102 to 694 of the family's 1533-position model. The record is from RNAcentral.
ACGGGUGAGUAACACGUGGGAACGUACCCUUUUCUACGGAAUAACCAAGGGAAGCUUGGACUAAUACCGUAUGUGCCCUUCGGGGGAAAGAUUUAUCGGAAAAGGAUCGGCCCGCGUUGGAUUAGCUAGUUGGUGGGGUAAAGGCCUACCAAGGCGACGAUCCAUAGCUGGUCUGAGAGGAUGAUCAGCCACAUUGGGACUGAGACACGGCCCAAACUCCUACGGGAGGCAGCAGUGGGGAAUAUUGGACAAUGGGCGCAAGCCUGAUCCAGCCAUGCCGCGUGAGUGAUGAAGGCCUUAGGGUUGUAAAGCUCUUUCACCGGAGAAGAUAAUGACGGUAUCCGGAGAAGAAGCCCCGGCUAACUUCGUGCCAGCAGCCGCGGUAAUACGAAGGGGGCUAGCGUUGUUCGGAUUUACUGGGCGUAGAGCGCACGUAGGCGGAUCGAUCAGUCAGGGGUGAAAUCCCAGAGCUCAACUCUGGAACUGCCUUUGAUACUGUCGAUCUGGAGUAUGGAAGAGGUGAGUGGAAUUCCGAGUGUAGAGGUGAAAUUCGUAGA